RNAcentral lists this ribosomal RNA (227 nucleotides) under Triticum aestivum (bread wheat). RNAcentral describes it as "partial small subunit ribosomal RNA". Lineage: Eukaryota; Viridiplantae; Streptophyta; Magnoliopsida; Poales; Poaceae. The record is from RNAcentral.
GAAUCUACAAGACCCAGCGUGCGCGCGAUGUGACUACAUAAGUUGCUCAUAUAUCGGAACCGGCUGUCCGGGCCCAUUAGAACCCUUUAAAGUAGCACUACCCCUAUCUAGUAACGUUAACAACCAGAAGUUGCUCCUUACGGAUCAUUCGCGCUCAGUAGUCGAGCGCAACUGAUGCAGGGACGGGAAACAUGUGUGACGGGCAGCGAGGAUGGCUAACUUACCAG